AGCAGUAGCCGCGGUAAUACGAAGGGUGCAAGCGUUAAUCGGAAUUACUGGGCGUAAAGCGUGCGUAGGCGGUGAGUUAAGUCUGCUGUGAAAUCCCCGGGCUCAACCUGGGAAUGGCAAUGGAUACUGGCAAGCUAGGGUGUGUCAGAGGAUGGUGGAAUUCCCGGUGUAGCGGUGAAAUGCGUAGAGAUCGGGAGGAACAUCAGUGGCGAAGGCGGCCAUCUGGGACAACACUGACGCUGAGGCACGAAAACGUGGGGAGCAAACAGGAUUAGAUACCCGCGUAGUCCCUGUCUCUUAUAC
RNAcentral lists this ribosomal RNA (303 nucleotides) under uncultured bacterium. RNAcentral's name for it is "partial 16S ribosomal RNA". It matches the Rfam family "Bacterial small subunit ribosomal RNA", at positions 507 to 807 of the family's 1533-position model. The record is from RNAcentral.